Molecule: ribosomal RNA, 506 nt
Filed under: uncultured bacterium
Lineage: Bacteria
Description: partial 16S ribosomal RNA
Rfam family: Bacterial small subunit ribosomal RNA
Source: RNAcentral
AGUGAACGCUGGCGGUAGGCCUAACACAUGCAAGUCGAACGACAGCACAGAGGAGCUUGCUCCUUGGGUGGCGAGUGGCGGACGGGUGAGGAAUACAUCGGAAUCUACUCUGUCGUGGGGGAUAACGUAGGGAAACUUACGCUAAUACCGCAUACGACCUACGGGUGAAAGCAGGGGACCUUCGGGCCUUGCGCGAUUGAAUGAGCCGAUGUCGGAUUAGCUAGUCGGCGGGGUAAAGGCCCACCAAGGCGACGAUCCGUAGCUGGUCUGAGAGGAUGAUCAGCCACACUGGAACUGGGACACGGUCCAGACUCCUACGGGAGGCAGCAGUGGGGAAUAUGGGACAAUGGGCGCAAGCCUGAUCCAGCCAUACCGCGUGGGUGAAGAAGGCCUUCGGGUUGUAAAGCCCUUUUGUUGGGAAAGAAAUCCAGCUGGCUAAUACCCGGUUGGGAUGACGGUACCCAAAGAAUAAGCACCGGCUAACUUCGUGCCAGCAGCCGCCGCAG